AGUGAACGCUGGCGGUAGGCCUAACACAUGCAAGUCGAACGGCAGCACAGUAAGAGCUUGCUCUUACGGGUGGCGAGUGGCGGACGGGUGAGGAAUACAUCGGAAUCUACUUUUUCGUGGGGGAUAACGUAGGGAAACUUACGCUAAUACCGCAUACGACCUACGGGUGAAAGCAGGGGAUCUUCGGACCUUGCGCGAUUGAAUGAGCCGAUGUCGGAUUAGCUAGUUGGCGGGGUAAAGGCCCACCAAGGCGACGAUCCGUAGCUGGUCUGAGAGGAUGAUCAGCCACACUGGAACUGAGACACGGGCCAGACUCCUACGGGAGGCAGCAGUGGGGAAUAUUGGACAAUGGGCGCAAGCCUGAUCCAGCCAUACCGCGUGGGUGAAGAAGGCCUGCGGGUUGUAAAGCCCUUUUGUUGGGAAAGAAAAGCAGCAGGUUAAUACCCCGCUGUUCUGACGGUACCCAAAGAAUAAGCACCGGCUAACUUCGU
This 491-nucleotide ribosomal RNA is filed under the name uncultured bacterium. RNAcentral's name for it is "partial 16S ribosomal RNA". It matches the Rfam family "Bacterial small subunit ribosomal RNA", at positions 29 to 506 of the family's 1533-position model. The record is from RNAcentral.